Molecule: long non-coding RNA, 685 nt
Organism: Sitophilus oryzae (rice weevil)
Lineage: Eukaryota; Metazoa; Arthropoda; Insecta; Coleoptera; Curculionidae
Exons: 2
Source: RefSeq, a predicted model, not a curated record
AAGAUUAAUUAUCUAUUAACGUGGAUUUGGACGACAAUAGGUAAGAACACUAAAUUUAUUUCUAUAUUCGAUAUAAACUUGUUUAUUAGGUUUUUAGUUUGUGAUGUUUCAUUGAUGAUCAUUUUCAUGUUCAUCGUCUUUGAAUUGACAUGAGGAUAUCUAUGGAAAAGUAACUAAUCUGAAAGUAAGCCAACAUAUCGUUUGUCCUUUGUGUGCUAAAGAAAAGAUUUUCUUUUCGCAUCAUGAGGAAGUAUUACAUCAAUUAAAAAAUGUUAGGAAGUUGAUUACUUGUCAUGGAAAAGUAUACCAAUGGAAAUUAUUUGUUAAAGAAGUAUAAUUCUAAGGGUUUUAAGAAUAAAUUGGUUGAACCCAAAAUCUGGAGGAAGUACCUAUAUCCAUACACAGAAUAUGCCCAUUAAAAAUACUAGUCCAAAUUUGCUUUAAUGGUAGACAAUUAUUCAAUACAAAUUAACUUUUUAAGUGACUGAAAUAUUAAAUAGUUUAGAAUAUGGUAUAACAAUGUAAAAAAAUAUUAUUUUCAGGAACGAUUAGGGCCCGAUAUAUUUGAAACUCAUGUUGGACAUAGUAUUGAGUUGGGUAGAAUAUUAUUCUACGUUAAGUGAGGGUAUCAGAUACCUAUUAUUGUACUGUAUUUUAAUAUAUACAUUAGAAUUGUUGGUUUUUU